This 322-nucleotide RNase P RNA is filed under the name Pseudoscardovia suis. RNAcentral's name for it is "Bacterial RNase P class A". It matches the Rfam family "Bacterial RNase P class A", at positions 32 to 347 of the family's 367-position model. From Rfam's summary of the family: Ribonuclease P (RNase P) is a ubiquitous endoribonuclease, found in archaea, bacteria and eukarya as well as chloroplasts and mitochondria. Its best characterised activity is the generation of mature 5'-ends of tRNAs by cleaving the 5'-leader elements of precursor-tRNAs. Cellular RNase Ps are ribonucleoproteins. The record is from RNAcentral. Lineage: Bacteria; Bacillati; Actinomycetota; Actinomycetes; Bifidobacteriales; Bifidobacteriaceae.
CGGCGAAAGCUGAGGAACUUCCGGGCUCCGCAGAGCACGAUGGCGGAUAACGUCCGCCCAGGGUGACCUGAGAGAUAGCGCAGCAGAGAACAGACCGCCCGCUUCGGCGAGCAAGGGUGAAACGGCGGUGCAAGAGACCACCGGACCCCCGGUAACGGCGGGUCGCAUGGCAAGCCUCAUCGGGAGCAAGGUCAAGCAGAAGGCGUUACGUGCUGCUCGCACAGCCUUCGGGUAGGCCGCUAGAGCCUGGCGGUGACGUCAGGUCGAGAUGGAUGGCCAUCCGUCUGCCCAGCAGACGACAGAACCCGGGGUAUGCGGGGUC